Molecule: unclassified non-coding RNA, 332 nt
Filed under: Hevea brasiliensis (rubber tree)
Lineage: Eukaryota; Viridiplantae; Streptophyta; Magnoliopsida; Malpighiales; Euphorbiaceae
Source: RNAcentral
AGCUCCACCCAUGGUUUAAAUUGUGGUUACAUAAAUAGAAAGAUGGGGAUAAAAGUACAUAAAUGUUAAACUGAAAAGUGAAAACUGUAAGAAAAUAUGGGUCCCAUGUGAUCCCAUUAUAAUCGACUAUCAAAAUUUAAUUAUUGUACAUACAACGAUUGUAUGAAAUAAUUAUAAACUUGGAACACAAAUACGUGAGUCUUACCUAUUUUAUACGUGAAUACCAUCAUACAUAUCUACAUGUGAAAAUAAGAAAAACACACAUAUUUAUUUCCCAAUCUAUGAUUUCUUGAAUGUUGGGUUUCCGUAAGUAUACAGGUCGUAUCAAGUAA